UAUGGUAUGCCAGCAGCCGCGGUAAUACGUAGGUGGCGAGCGUUGUCCGGACUUAUUGGGCGUAAAGAGCAUGUAGGCGGCUUAAUAAGUCGAGCGUGAAAAUGCGGGGCUCAACCCCGUAUGGCGCUGGAAACUGUUAGGCUUGAGUGCAGGAGAGGAAAGGGGAAUUCCCAGUGUAGCGGUGAAAUGCGUAGAUAUUGGGAGGAACACCAGUGGCGAAGGCGCCUUUCUGGACUGUGUCUGACGCUGAGAUGCGAAAGCCAGGGUAGCGAACGGG
RNAcentral lists this ribosomal RNA (277 nucleotides) under Phascolarctobacterium faecium. RNAcentral describes it as "partial 16S ribosomal RNA". It matches the Rfam family "Bacterial small subunit ribosomal RNA", at positions 499 to 776 of the family's 1533-position model. The record is from RNAcentral. Lineage: Bacteria; Bacillati; Bacillota; Negativicutes; Acidaminococcales; Acidaminococcaceae.